GCAUGGGAUAAUGAAAUAAGACCUCUGUUCUGCUUUCAUUGGUUUUCAGAUCAAGAGGUAAUGAUUAAUAGAAGCAGUUUGGGGGCAUUAGUAUUAUGACGCGAGAGGUGAAAUUCUUGGACCGUCGUU
This 129-nucleotide non-coding RNA is filed under the name Drosophila virilis. Its description in RNAcentral is "Eukaryotic small subunit ribosomal RNA". It matches the Rfam family "Eukaryotic small subunit ribosomal RNA", at positions 807 to 932 of the family's 1831-position model. The record is from Rfam by way of RNAcentral. Lineage: Eukaryota; Metazoa; Arthropoda; Insecta; Diptera; Drosophilidae.